Molecule: transfer RNA, 70 nt
Filed under: Poa maroccana
Lineage: Eukaryota; Viridiplantae; Streptophyta; Magnoliopsida; Poales; Poaceae
Description: partial tRNA-Phe
Rfam family: tRNA (bases 10-70)
About the family: Transfer RNA (tRNA) molecules are approximately 80 nucleotides in length. Their secondary structure includes four short double-helical elements and three loops (D, anti-codon, and T loops).
Source: RNAcentral
CAAGAAAAGGUCAGGAUAGCUCAGUUGGUAGAGCAGAGGACUGAAAAUCCUCGUGUCACAGUUCAAAAUA